GUGGGGAAUAUUGGGCAAUGGGCGCAAGCCUGACCCAGCAACGCCGCGUGAAGGAAGAAGGCUUUCGGGUUGUAAACUUCUUUUGCCAGGGACGAAAAAAAUGACGGUACCUGGAGAAUAAGCCACGGCUAACUACGUGCCAGCAGCCGCGGUAAUACGUAGGUGGCAAGCGGUGUCCGGAUUUACUGGGUGUAAAGGGCGCGUAGGCGGGACUGCAAGUCAGAUGUGAAAUGCAGGGGCUUAACCCCUGAGCUGCAUUUGAAACUGUGGUUCUUGAGUGAUGGAGAGGCAAGUGGAAUUCCUAGUGUAGCGGUGAAAUGCGUAGAUAUUAGGAGGAACACCAGUGGCGAAGGCGACUUGCUGGACAUUAACUGACGCUGAGGCGUGAAAGCGUGGGGAGCAAACAGGAUUAGAAACCCUUGUAGUCC
Molecule: ribosomal RNA, 428 nt
Filed under: uncultured bacterium
Lineage: Bacteria
Description: partial 16S ribosomal RNA
Rfam family: Bacterial small subunit ribosomal RNA
Source: RNAcentral